GGGGUGAGAGAGAUGGAGGGUUUGACCUCUGUGAGGUGAGAGAGAUGAAGGGUUUGACCUCUGUGGGGUGAGAGAGAUGGAGGGUUUGACCUCUGUGGGGUGAGAGAGAUGGAGGGUUUGACCUGCAGAACAAACAAUGUGGGAGGUUUGGAUGUGAUGGGCCCAUCCAAGGAUUAAUACCAUUAUUAAUACCAUAAUGAAUGAAUGUUAUUAAUAACUAUGGCUAAUAAAAUUGAAACUAAAGACAGCAGAGAAAAGUUUAAAGUUAUUGGCUCAUUUGAGCUCUUGACCUUUAACUCUGGACCUUUGACCUUUCAGUCUGACAGAGAGGAUUAUCAGCUCAUUGAUCUGCAAUGCCUGAGCCAGUACCCCCGCGAUAUCUGGUUCUAUGAUGCCCCAUGCAUGCCUGUCCAGCCGGUGAUGCAGUGCCGGGAGGGAGGCCCUGUGACCUCAGCACUCGGCGACACGUUGGAGAGUGACAGUGACCGCAGCACCCCUUCCGAGCUGGACCCAGGGUUCUGUUGUGACAAGGAGCCUGGCUGCCAUGAGCAGUCUGACAGGGAGGAUUAUCAGCUUAUUGAUCUGCAAUACCUGAGCCAGUACCCCCGCGAUAUCUGGUUCUAUGAUGCCCCAUGCAUGCCUGUCCAGCCGGUGAUGCAGUGCCGGGAGGGAGGCCCUGUGACCUCAGCACUCGGCGACACGUUGGAGAGUGACAGUGACCGCAGCACCCCUUCCGAGCUGGACCCAGGGGUCUGUUGUGACAAGGAGCCUGGCUGCCAUGAGCAGUCUGACAGGGAG
Long non-coding RNA from Clupea harengus (Atlantic herring), 798 nucleotides. NCBI's taxonomy places the organism in Eukaryota, Metazoa, Chordata, Actinopteri, Clupeiformes, Clupeidae. The record is from Ensembl.